Molecule: ribosomal RNA, 244 nt
Filed under: uncultured eukaryote
Lineage: Eukaryota
Description: partial 18S ribosomal RNA
Rfam family: Eukaryotic small subunit ribosomal RNA
Source: RNAcentral
CGUAGUUGGAUUUCUGGUCUAAUGCGCCUGGCCCGCUGCCGUUAGGUAUGUGAGUGCCGGUGCGCGUUUACCAUCCUUCCAGAGAACACUUCUACCAUUUAUUUGGACGGAUGUUGUCUUCUGGAUCUUUUACUUUGAAAAAAUUAGAGUGUUUAAAGCAGGCCUUUGCUGUGAAUACAUUAGCAUGGAAUAAUAAUCUAGGACUUCGGUUCUAUUUUGUUGGUUUCUAGUACUGAAGUAAUGA